AAUUUACAUAGUUUAUAGUUUAGAACAGCUUCAGCAAUAGUUUACACGAUAGUUUCCUCACUAAUUUCCCUGUUUUCUCUUUUGCUAUGCUAUGGUCUAUUUUCACAGAUCAGUCAAACUGUUACUGCUAAUUCUUUAAAGAGGCGAUUGCUUUUCUGUUUAAAACCCUUCAUGGCUGCCAAUUAAAUAAACAAAAGUUCUUACCACUUUCUAAGAAGCUUUAUGUGACCAUCUCCCCAUGGAGUGUGACCUCAUCUCCUCUGCUGUAUCACAUUGGCAUCCUUAGUGGAACCUCACGGGAUGCAAAAUUUUUCCAAGGGAUGUGCAUCUGCAGACAGUUUUAAGGGACUAUUGUCAAGAACUGUGAAGGAUCUGAGCUUACAAGUUAGCCUGCUUCAGUUUUAUGGAUGCUGGCAGAAGACACAUAACUGUUUGGUCAGAGACAGAAAGACUUCCAUUAUUUGCAGCACAACACAGAGUUGCACGAGCUUCAUCUUUGCUCUGGUUCCUGUUUUCCCUCAAGUUUACUGGAGAUGAUGACAAGGAGUUCAAGUUGAUGCUACACACAGUUUGUGUCACAGAUGAAGAACUCCAAGUAAAGGAAACUUAAAUCUUUAAUAAAUGAGCAGUAAGCA
Molecule: long non-coding RNA, 635 nt
Organism: Pan troglodytes (chimpanzee)
Lineage: Eukaryota; Metazoa; Chordata; Mammalia; Primates; Hominidae
Exons: 2
Source: RefSeq, a predicted model, not a curated record